CAAAAAGGUGAUAUUUUUUUUUUUUUUACAAUUAUUCACUUUAAAACCACGAGAAAUUAGAAUUUGUCACGAUUUAACCCAUUGAAAACGGUUUAUGAUUUAUGAUUUGCGUAAAAUACACAGGGUACUUGUUAAAUGCUUCGUCGAGUUCACCAGCAUCGACCGUAAAGACAAGUUAUUAAUGGCCGGUGGCAAUUUUUAAAAUAGCCUAAAUAUGUAAAAGUAAACCGACCAACAGUGAGAACACUAGUGUUGGCCACCUCACAGAACAAGUACUGGUGUUCCAUCCGGAGUUACAUGACCUAUCCAGUGUUAAGGAUGUGUAAUUCAAAUAUAUAAAAAGAAGCAACACGAGAUAAAACCUUUUUUUGAAAGAGGGCUUUUAUAAAUAAAAAAGAAAUGGAGAUGAUCAUGACCUAGGUUCCAGUGUCUUAUUAAUCACAUGUUAAUUAAAACAUUUUGAUAUAACAGAUAAAAUUUGCGUAAACCGUAUUGAUCAUGUUUCAAAUAUCUAAAUCUUGUGUUAUUGUAUAUAUUAUUAAUUAAUAGAAAAAAAUGUGUACGUAGA
Molecule: long non-coding RNA, 568 nt
Organism: Adelges cooleyi (spruce gall adelgid)
Lineage: Eukaryota; Metazoa; Arthropoda; Insecta; Hemiptera; Adelgidae
Exons: 2
Source: RefSeq, a predicted model, not a curated record